RNAcentral lists this small RNA (477 nucleotides) under Arabidopsis thaliana (thale cress). RNAcentral's name for it is "ATSL231920". Lineage: Eukaryota; Viridiplantae; Streptophyta; Magnoliopsida; Brassicales; Brassicaceae. The record is from RNAcentral.
AAACGAAGAAGAAGAAGAAGAAGAAGAAGAAGAAUCUAGCUCAGUGAAAUAUUAGUUUUAGGUGUAGGAAGUGGUCCAACAACAAUCGUGUAGGGUAACAUCGUAAAUCGUGCGAAAGCGCAGGAGAGAUUCGAAUAAACAAACACAAAGUAGCAGAAGCAAAAAGGUAAACAAAGAGGAAAAAAAAAGAGAAAAAAAAAAUCUCUGGCGAUUCCAGAAACAACAAAUUUUCUAUAGUUACUGUUGAAUCGAAAAAAAAGAAAUAUAAUAUAAUCAUCUACCUCAAUUAUCGGCGGAACAGAGGAUUUUCUCAGCUCUUUCCCUUUGAUACUCUCUGGCUGCUGAAUUAUUUUCCGUCACUUUCUCGAGAAAAUAGAGGAGGAACGAGAGGAGAUAGAGAGAGAGCUCUAUAGGAAACUUCCUCGAAGGAGCUUUGACUCGUCAGUCGUCACUCGGGGGCUUCCUCGUGAUACUAUU